Molecule: ribosomal RNA, 449 nt
Filed under: uncultured bacterium
Lineage: Bacteria
Description: partial 16S ribosomal RNA
Rfam family: Bacterial small subunit ribosomal RNA
Source: RNAcentral
AACGAACGCUGGCGGCAGGCUUAGCACAUGCAAGUCGAACGCAUCCUUCGGGGUGAGUGGCAGACGGGUGAGUAACGCGUGGGAACGUGCCCUUCAGUUCGGAAUAACCCAGGGAAACUUGGGCUAAUACCGGAUACGUGCGAGAGCAGAAAGAUUUAUCGCUGAAGGAUCGGCCCGCGUCUGAUUAGCUAGUUGGUGGGGUAAUGGCCCACCAAGGCGACGAUCAGUAGCUGGUCUGAGAGGAUGAUCAGCCACAUUGGGACUGAGACACGGCCCAAAAUCCUACGGGAGGCAGCAGUGGGGAAUAUUGGGCAAUGGGCGCAAGCCUGAUCCAGCCAUGCCGCGUGAGUGAUGACGGCCUUAGGGUUGUAAAGCUCUUUCGUCCGGGACGAUAAUGACGGUACCGGAAGAAGAAGCCCCGGCUAACUUCGUGCCAGCCGCCGCCGUAA